UCAGUAGUGGCGCAGGGGUACAAGCGUUUGACUAUAAAGGCAAGGACGCCAACGCUUGUUGUGGGUUCGAAUCCCACUUGAGAAA
RNAcentral lists this transfer RNA (85 nucleotides) under Heliconius melpomene (postman butterfly). RNAcentral's name for it is "tRNA HMEL011043". Lineage: Eukaryota; Metazoa; Arthropoda; Insecta; Lepidoptera; Nymphalidae. The record is from RNAcentral.